Molecule: ribosomal RNA, 900 nt
Filed under: Tylenchulus semipenetrans
Lineage: Eukaryota; Metazoa; Nematoda; Chromadorea; Rhabditida; Tylenchulidae
Description: SSU rRNA
Rfam family: Eukaryotic small subunit ribosomal RNA
Source: RNAcentral
AACCGCGACGGCUCAUUAUAACAGCUAUGAUUUACUUGAUCUUGAACAGUUACUCGGAUAACUGUGGUAAUUCUAGAGCUAAUACGUGCACCGAAGCUACCUCUUGCGGGGUAGUGCAUUUAUUGGAGCAAAACCAAGCGGCUUCGGCCGUUUUUGCUGACUCAGAAUAACUAAGCUGAUCGUAUGGGCUUGUCCCGACGACGUGUCUUUCAAGUGUCUGCCUUAUCAACUUUCGAUGGUAGUGUACGUGACUACCAUGGUGUUGACGGGUAACGGAGGAUAAGGGUUCGACUCCGGAGAAGGGGCCUGAGAAAUGGCCACUACGUCUAAGGAUGGCAGCAGGCGCGCAAAUUACCCACUCUCGGCACGAGGAGGUAGUGACGAAAAAUAACGAGACCGUUCUCUACGAGGCCGGUCAUCGGAAUGGGUACAACUCAAACCCUUUAACGAGUAUCAAUGAGAGGGCAAGUCUGGUGCCAGCAGCCGCGGUAAUUCCAGCUCUCAAAAUGCAUAGAAUCAUUGCUGCGGUUAAAAAGCUCGUAGUUGGAUCUGUGCUGGCGACGUGGUCCACCUUAACGGGUGGUACUGCGCUCGUCGGCUUUGGGCCGGUCUUCGGUCGGUCGCCUUCACUGGUGGCUGCUCGUGGCUGGCUGGUUUACUUUGAGCAAAUCGGAGUGCUCAGCACAGGCGUAUCGCCGGAACGUUCGUGCAUGGAAUAAUAGAAAAGGAUCACGGUCCUUUUUAUUGGUUUUAAGGACUGAGAUAAUGGUUAACAGAGACGAACGGGGGCAUUCGUAUUGCUGCGUUAGAGGUGAAAUUCUUGGACCGCAGCAGACGGACUACAGCGAAAGCAUUUGCCAGCGCGUCUUCAUUAAUCAAGAACGAAAGUCAGAGGUUCGA